AUGCCACCAGGGGGAGGAGAAGCAAGCCAGCAUGGCCGCACGGGGAAGGAGCAGAGCGAUCCGCCGGAGAUCCGCCGCCGCGACGACUCCCGUCCCGCGCCGCCGUUCCCCGUCGUAGCUUCUCAGAAGAGGAGGCAGACGCAGCCGGCGUCGGAGGUGGUGAGCGUCCCCGAGGGCCCCCUCGUCGAGAUCCUGGCGCGGCUGCCGUACCGGUCGCUCUGCCGAUUCAAGUGCGUCUCCAAGCAGUGGCGCGUCCUCUGCUCCGACCCCAGCAUCGUCAAGAGGGCGACGCAGACCCUCUCCGGAUUCUUCCAAUACGGCCCGGCCGGCAGCCUCCGCUUCAGCAAUCUGUCCGGCGGACGUCCGCUGGUCGACGCUUCGCUCCCUUUCCUGCGCCCGAGAUACCAAAGGAUCAAUAUCGAGCAAUGCUCCACCAGCCUUCUCCUCUGCAAAUGCUGGAAACUGGAAUCGGAAAAGGACAAAUUCGAUUUCAUCGUGUGCAAUCCGAUGACCCAACAGUGGACCGUGCUGCCUCCUAUUGAAUGGCUGGACCAAGACAACGGAGAACCCGAAAGUUUCGAGCUGAGUUAUCCCUUCCUGGUUUUCGACCCGUCCGUUCCGUCUCGUUUCGUCGUGUUUGCGCCCCUCUGGGAGUCGAUCGACGUUGUGCCGAUAUACUCAUGGGAAACCGGACAAUGGACUCCCAGCAGGGGGUGGGGACACAGACGGCAUGGUGCCGUUAGCGCCGAAUGUGUCUUCCUGAAUGGCAUGAUCCAUUUCUUACAUUUGCUUUUCCAUGGAACUUUCAUAACUAUACUAGACCUUGAGGGGGAGGUUUGCCGGAAAAUUACUUGCCCGGAUGGAAUGCAAGGGGCAACAACGCCUGGUUAUGGUUCGGUGGGGUGCUCUCAGGGACUCCUUCAUGCUUGGUAUAUGGAUCCUCAUGAUUACCAGCUCUCCGUGUGGGUGCUCAAGGAUUAUUAUGCUACUGAAGAAGAGUGGACCCUAAAGCAUACCGUCGACGUUCCAAAACUGUUUGAAGAAACGGAAUCCGACCAAGAAGAGGAUUAUCAUCGCCAAGAGGAUGGGUCCUGUAAGUAUCAGAUGUUUGCAAUUCAUCCAGAAUACAACGUGAUUUUCAUUACUGACUGGAAGCUGGUGAGUCUGUCAUACGACAUGGACAGCGGGCGAGUGCAUCCCAUGUGCACUUCUGCAGAUUUCUUUGGUGCUCUACCUUUUAUUCCUUGCUUUGCGGAUUUGGCUCACGGAUGA
This 1272-nucleotide ribosomal RNA is filed under the name Triticum aestivum (bread wheat). RNAcentral's name for it is "partial small subunit ribosomal RNA". The record is from RNAcentral. Lineage: Eukaryota; Viridiplantae; Streptophyta; Magnoliopsida; Poales; Poaceae.